RNAcentral lists this ribosomal RNA (1060 nucleotides) under Vibrio splendidus. Its description in RNAcentral is "bacterial SSU rRNA". It matches the Rfam family "Bacterial small subunit ribosomal RNA", at positions 463 to 1520 of the family's 1533-position model. Lineage: Bacteria; Pseudomonadati; Pseudomonadota; Gammaproteobacteria; Vibrionales; Vibrionaceae. The record is from RNAcentral.
UAUCUCUUGACGUUAGCAACAGAAGAAGCACCGGCUAACUCCGUGCCAGCAGCCGCGGUAAUACGGAGGGUGCGAGCGUUAAUCGGAAUUACUGGGCGUAAAGCGCAUGCAGGUGGUUCAUUAAGUCAGAUGUGAAAGCCCGGGGCUCAACCUCGGAACUGCAUUUGAAACUGGUGAACUAGAGUACUGUAGAGGGGGGUAGAAUUUCAGGUGUAGCGGUGAAAUGCGUAGAGAUCUGAAGGAAUACCAGUGGCGAAGGCGGCCCCCUGGACAGAUACUGACACUCAGAUGCGAAAGCGUGGGGAGCAAACAGGAUUAGAUACCCUGGUAGUCCACGCCGUAAACGAUGUCUACUUGGAGGUUGUGGCCUUGAGCCGUGGCUUUCGGAGCUAACGCGUUAAGUAGACCGCCUGGGGAGUACGGUCGCAAGAUUAAAACUCAAAUGAAUUGACGGGGGCCCGCACAAGCGGUGGAGCAUGUGGUUUAAUUCGAUGCAACGCGAAGAACCUUACCUACUCUUGACAUCCAGAGAAGCCAGCGGAGACGCAGGUGUGCCUUCGGGAGCUCUGAGACAGGUGCUGCAUGGCUGUCGUCAGCUCGUGUUGUGAAAUGUUGGGUUAAGUCCCGCAACGAGCGCAACCCUUAUCCUUGUUUGCCAGCGAGUAAUGUCGGGAACUCCAGGGAGACUGCCGGUGAUAAACCGGAGGAAGGUGGGGACGACGUCAAGUCAUCAUGGCCCUUACGAGUAGGGCUACACACGUGCUACAAUGGCGCAUACAGAGGGCAGCAAGCUAGCGAUAGUGAGCGAAUCCCAAAAAGUGCGUCGUAGUCCGGAUUGGAGUCUGCAACUCGACUCCAUGAAGUCGGAAUCGCUAGUAAUCGUAGAUCAGAAUGCUACGGUGAAUACGUUCCCGGGCCUUGUACACACCGCCCGUCACACCAUGGGAGUGGGCUGCAAAAGAAGUGGGUAGUUUAACCUUUCGGGGAGGACGCUCACCACUUUGUGGUUCAUGACUGGGGUGAAGUCGUAACAAGGUAGCCCUAGGGGAACCUGGGGCUG